UAGGGAAUAUUGGACAAUGGGGGCAACCCUGAUCCAGCCAUUCCGCGUGCAGGACUAAGGCCCUAUGGGUCGUAAACUGCUUUUGUAUGGGAAAAAAUCACUUUAUGCGUAGAGUGUUGAUGGUACCAUGAGAAUAAGGAUCGGCUAACUUCGUGCCAGCAGCCGCGGUAAUACGAAGGAUCCAAGCGUUGUCCGGAUUUACUGGGUUUAAAGGGUGCGUAGGCGGGGAAUUAAGUCAGUGGUGAAAGCUGGUAGCUUAACUAUCAAAUAGCCAUUGAAACUGAUUUUCUUGAGUGCGGUUGAGGUAGCUGGAAUGUAACAUGUAGCGGUGAAAUGCUUAGAUAUGUUACAGAACACCAAUUGCGAAGGCAGGCUACUAAGCCGUAACUGACGCUGAGGC
Molecule: ribosomal RNA, 400 nt
Filed under: uncultured bacterium
Lineage: Bacteria
Description: bacterial SSU rRNA
Rfam family: Bacterial small subunit ribosomal RNA
Source: RNAcentral